CUGAACUAGAAUUAGGAUCCUUAAACAACAACUUCAGACUGGAACAAACAACAACAACAAAAAACCAACAAUAUGAUCACUGAGCGCUCUAAUGCGGUCAGGUCAGCAGAGGCGGAGGCCCGGGCUGUGGAUGGCCGAGGAGCCGAACUCAUGAAGCCACGUUCCUUCUGCUGCUCUUAACCCAGGCGCGGCGGCUUGCCGACCCGCUCCGCUUACUCCGAAACCGCUUUCAUCUGAGUGGCACAGUAACUGAGCUGGCCACUGCCUCUGAACCAGCAGUGACUUACAAAGUUGCAAUCAGUUUUGAUCGAUGCAAAAUCACCUCAGUGACAUGUGGCUGUGGGAACAAGGACAUAUUCUACUGUGCCCAUGUGGUAGCGCUCUCACU
This 388-nucleotide small RNA is filed under the name Pongo abelii (Sumatran orangutan). Its description in RNAcentral is "processed transcript". Lineage: Eukaryota; Metazoa; Chordata; Mammalia; Primates; Hominidae. The record is from RNAcentral.